AAAUGAAUAGACGGGGGCCCGCACAAGCGGUGGAGCAUGUGGUUUAAUUCGAUGAUACGCGAGGAACCUUACCAGGGCUUAAAUGUAGUCUGACAGGCGUGGAAACACGCUCUUCUUCGGACAGAUUACAAGGUGCUGCAUGGUUGUCGUCAGCUCGUGCCGUGAGGUGUCAGGUUAAGUCCUAUAACGAGCGCAACCCUUGUCGUUAGUUGCCAGCGAGUAGUGUCGGGAACUCUAACGAGACUGCCGGUGCAAACCGUGAGGAAGGUGGGGAUGACGUCAAAUCAUCACGGCCCUUACGUCCUGGGCCACACACGUGCUACAAUGGCCGGUACAACGGGCAGCCAUCCGGUAACGGAGCGCGAAUCCUAAAAACCGGUCUCAGUUCGGAUCGGGGUCUGCAACUCGACCCCGUGAAGCUGGAAUCGCUAGUAAUCGCAGAUCAGCCAUGCUGCGGUGAAUACGUUCCCGGGCCUUGUACACACCGCCCGU
This 492-nucleotide ribosomal RNA is filed under the name uncultured bacterium. Its description in RNAcentral is "bacterial SSU rRNA". It matches the Rfam family "Bacterial small subunit ribosomal RNA", at positions 903 to 1397 of the family's 1533-position model. The record is from RNAcentral.